Molecule: non-coding RNA, 84 nt
Organism: Fusarium torreyae
Lineage: Eukaryota; Fungi; Ascomycota; Sordariomycetes; Hypocreales; Nectriaceae
Source: the annotation of a GenBank genome assembly
UCCGGUGUGGUGUAUCGGUUAUCAUUCCGCGUUUUCAUCCAAGUAAGAUCCGCGGCGAGGAGGGUUCGACUCCCUCCAUCGGAG